This 494-nucleotide ribosomal RNA is filed under the name uncultured bacterium. RNAcentral describes it as "bacterial SSU rRNA". It matches the Rfam family "Bacterial small subunit ribosomal RNA", at positions 15 to 518 of the family's 1533-position model. The record is from RNAcentral.
GAUCAUGGCUCAGGAUGAACGCUGGCGGCGUGCUUAACACAUGCAAGUCGAACGAAGCAACUAUCUUGCUUGCAAGAGAGUUGACUUAGUGGCGGACGGGUGAGUAACGCGUGGGUAACCUGCCUCAUACAGGGGGAUAACAGUUGGAAACGACUGCUAAGACCGCAUAACCCGCUAGUGUCGCAUGACACGGACGGAAAAUAUUUAUAGGUAUGAGAUGGGCCCGCGUCUGAUUAGCUAGUUGGUAAGGUAACGGCUUACCAAGGCGACGAUCAGUAGCCGACUUGAGAGAGUGAUCGGCCACAUUGGGACUGAGACACGGCCCAAACUCCUACGGGAGGCAGCGGUGGGGAAUAUUGGACAAUGGGGGAAACCCUGAUCCCAGCGACGCCGCGUGAGUGAAGAAGUAUUUCGGUAUGUAAAGCUCUAUCAGCAGGGAAGAUAAUGACAGUACCUGACUAAGAAGCCCCGGCUAACUACGUGCCAGCCGCGGC